This is an RNA transcript of Pyrgilauda ruficollis (rufous-necked snowfinch), 5761 nucleotides long. It is a transcript of the gene named REV1 DNA directed polymerase, with no coding region annotated. The transcript has 24 exons. NCBI's taxonomy places the organism in Eukaryota, Metazoa, Chordata, Aves, Passeriformes, Passeridae. The record is from RefSeq and is a predicted model, not a curated record.
GGUGGGGGUGGGGAAGGGGCCGUGCCGGGGACACCGAGCGAGGUGCGGGGAGAGAGAAGGAGGGAGGGAGAAGGAGAGAGAGAGCGGCCGGCUCUGGAGAGGAGGAGGAGGAGGAGGAAGAGGAGGAAGCCCGCGGGCAGUAGACGGCGGUUGCGUGCGUCCGUCCGUCCGUGCCGGAGGGGGAGCCGCGAUGUGAAGCCCCACACACACACAACACGCACACGCACACGCACGGCCCGGCAGGGCAGGAGGCAGCGGCGGCGCUCCCGGGAAUGUGUGUCUGGGACGCGGCAGAAGAAGCUUCAGUAUGAGGCGGGGUGGAUGGCGGAAACGAGCUGCCGAUGGCGAUGGAUGGGGAAUAUGGGGUGGGUACAUGUCAGCAAAAGUUAAGAAAUUGGAGGAGCAGUUCCGGUCAGAUUCAGCCAUACAACAGCAGAGGGAUGGUAAUUCAUCAAGUAUCUUUAGCGGAGUCGCCAUCUACGUCAAUGGCUUGACAGAUCCCUCAGCUGAUGAAUUAAGACGGCUGAUGAUGUUACAUGGAGGCCAAUACCAUGUAUACUAUUCCAGAUCAAAAACAACUCACAUUAUUGCCACCAAUCUUCCAAAUGCCAAAAUAAAAGAAUUGAAAGGAGAAAAAGUAGUUCGACCAGAGUGGAUCGUGGAGAGCAUUAAAGCUGGGCGUCUCCUUUCGCACAUUCCGUAUCAGCUUUACACCAAGCAGUCAGGUGUUCAGAAAGGUCUCAACUUUAACAGCAUACGCAAACCUGAAGAUGCUGUGCCAGGUCCAAGCAAUACAGCUAAAGAUCUCAACAGGGUAAAUCAUAUUAAAAAGUACGAAAUGGAAAAUGAAAUCACACCCAAUGGAAUAAACAGCUGGAAUGAGGAAGAGGAAGAAGAAAGUGUCGAUUUUGGAUUUACAGAGCUGGAGGAGAUUCUUCCCAUACGGAAACAAAACGGGAUUCAAUCUCAUAAAGACAGCACUGCCCUUUUUAAUGGACACACACACGCUUCUACCAGUGCCUUAAAGACACAGGAUUGCUUGGUGCCCUCCAGCAACGGUGUUGCAGGCAGGUUGUCUCCAGGCCCUGUGCAGGAGGAGGGGAAGACUGACAAAGGCAUGGUUGACUUUAGAGACUGCACAAUGCAGCAGUUGCAGCAAAGCAACAAAAAUACAGACUUUUCAUGGAGUCCACACAGGACUAUGAGUAACUCAUCCUCAUCUUCAUUUUUGCACAGUAAUGCUAAAAUAAAUGGUGCUCACCACUCAACUGUUCAGGGGCCUUCAAGCACAAAAAGCACUUCUGGACCUGCUCCUAGCAAGGCAGCUUCCUUACCUGUGUCCAAACCUUCAGAUUGUAGUUUUAUUUCUGAUUUUUAUUCACAUUCAAGACUGCAUCAUAUAUCAACGUGGAAGUGUGAAUUGACAGAGUUUGUCAACAGCCUGCAGAGAAAAAACAGCGGUGUCUUUCCAGGAAGGGAAAAAAUUAAAAAAUGGAAAACAGGCAGGUCUGCACUUAAAACUGACACAGGUAAUGUGUCUGUUGCGAGCUCAGCCAAGCCACAGAGCUGUAUAAUGCACGUGGAUAUGGAUUGCUUCUUUGUGUCUGUGGCUAUCCGAAAUAGACCAGAUCUCAAAGGAAAGCCAGUAGCUGUUACUAGUAACAGAGGUACAGGGAAGGCACUGCUGCGCCCUGGUGCAAACCCCCAGCUUGAACAGCAAUAUUACCAGAAAAAGCUAUUGAAUGGCAAAGCAGCAGAAAUUAGAGUACCUGAUCAGUUGGACUCAUCUGUCUGGGAGCAUACAGAUUCCACACAUGUGAACGGAGCUGACUUCAAUCUCACUGUUCUGUCCAUGGCUGAAAUAGCUUCUUGCAGUUAUGAAGCCAGACAAGUUGGCAUAAAGAAUGGAAUGUUUUUUGGCCAAGCAAAAAAGUUGUGUCCAAAUCUUCAAGCAGUUUCAUAUGAUUUUGAUGCAUACAAAGAAGUUGCACGGACAGUAUAUGAAAUACUAGCAAGCUAUACUCACAACAUCGAAGCAGUCAGUUGUGAUGAAGCACUGGUAGAUAUCACUGACAUCCUUACAGAGACCAGACUGACUCCUGAUGAAUUUGCGAACGCUAUCCGCACUGAAAUCAAAGACCAAACUAAAUGCACAGCUUCUGUUGGGAUGGGUUCCAAUAUUCUGCUGGCCAGAAUGGCAACUCGUAAAGCAAAACCAGAUGGACAAUAUCACUUAAAACCUGAAGAAGUGGAUGAUUUUAUCAGAGGGCAACUUGUUACCAGUCUUCCAGGAGUUGGCAGGACAAUGGAAUCUAAGCUGGCUUCUUUGGGAAUUAAAACCUGUGGAGAUCUGCAGUGUGCUUCAAUGUCAAAACUACAAAAAGAAUUUGGUCCAAAAACAGGACAAAUGCUCUACAGAUUCUGUCGUGGUUUGGAUGACCGACCUGUUCGUACAGAAAAAGAAAGAAAAUCUGUUUCAGCAGAAAUCAACUAUGGAAUAAGGUUUACACAGCCUAAGGAAGCAGAAGCUUUCCUUCUGAGCCUCUCAGAAGAAAUCCAGCGUAGACUUGAAGCUGCUGGUAUGAAGGGUAAACGAUUGACCCUUAAAAUUAUGGUCAGAAAGGCUGGAGCACCAGUAGAGCCUGCAAAGUAUGGAGGUCAUGGAAUCUGUGAUAAUAUUGCCAGGACUGUGACUCUAGACCAUGCAACAGACAGUGCAAAAAUAAUUGGGAAGGAAACUCUGAACAUGUUUCACACAAUGAAACUGAACAUAUCUGAUAUGCGAGGGGUUGGAAUUCAGGUACAGCAGCUAGUUCCCAUCAGUAAAACAACUUCAGCUCUCUCAACAGUACAAUCUGGACAUUUACCUGGUGCAUCACAUUCAGUUAUUGAUCUUUUUCAUGUUCAGAAAGCAAAAAAGCACUCAGAAGAAGAACCUAAGGAAGUAUUUGUGGCUGCUAUGGACCUUGAAAUAUCCUCUAAUUCAAGAACUUGCACUUUCCUUCCAUCUCGUGGUACCAGUGUCACACCUGGUGUCAGUUCUAAUGCAAACAACGCCGAGCCUGCUGUCAAGUGGAAUGGUGUGCAUUCUCCUAUCAGUGUAAAAUCCAGGCUCAAUUUGAGUAUUGAGGUUCCAUCUGCUUCCCAGCUAGAUAAGUCUGUGCUGGAAGCUCUGCCACCUGAUCUCCGAGAGCAAGUAGAGCAAAUAUGCACCAUUCAGCAAGGAGAGAGUUACGGAGAGAGCAAAAAAGAGCCAAUAAAUGGAUGUAACACUGCCCUUCUGUCACAGCCAAUUGGAACAGUGCUUUUACAAAUACCAGAGCUCCAAGAACCAAAUACCAAUAUGGGAAUCAAUGUAAUAGCCUUGCCAGCUUUCUCACAGGUGGACCCUGAGGUUUUUUCUGCACUACCUGCUGAGUUGCAAGCAGAGCUGAAAGAUGCAUAUGAUCAAAGGCAGAAGCAAUCAGAGCAGCAGCCUGCUAACACUUUAGUGUCAAAAAAUCCUUUCCUACACCUGAAGAAUACAACUAUGAAAAAUAAGAAAAAAAUACGAAAAAAAAAUCCAGUCAGUCCUGUGAAAAAGAUUCAGAGUCCUUUGAAAAACAAACUUAUUGGUAGUCCUGCAAAAAACGUGCCAGCUGCAUCUGGAAGCCCACAGAAGCUAAUAGAUGGCUUUUUGAAACAAGAAGGAACAGCUGCUCAGGCAGAAGCAGUUCCAUCAACUUCGGAUUCCCCGGGCCCAUCAGCUCUGCAGACGGAGCAGCAGCCGGGCUCCUUCAGGCCACAGGCCCCAAACCUCGCUGGAGCUGUGGAAUUCAACGAUGUGAAGACGUUGUUGAAAGAGUGGAUCACAACUAUCUCAGAUCCUAUGGAAGAAGACAUACUACAGGUUGUGAAAUACUGUACUGAUCUAAUAGAAGAAAAAGACUUGGAAAAGUUAGAUCUGGUUGUUAAGUACAUGAAAAGGUUGAUGCAGUCAUCUGUGGAGUCAGUUUGGAAUAUGGCAUUUGACUUCAUUCUUGACAAUGUUCAGGUAGUUUUACAACAAACUUACGGAAGCACAUUAAAAGUUAUCUGAACUUGUAGUAAAGAGCUUGAUGAGAGCCUGGAGCUCUCUGCUAGCUGUGCCAUAAGUGCUUGUGAGGUAUUUGCAAAGUGCAUGAUAGUAAUGCCCUGAGUUUUUAUAAUUUCAAAUUUCUUUUUAAACAACAAAGUGUUUUGUACAUUUCUUUUCAGAAAGUGCCAAAUUUGUCAGUAUUGCAUGUAAAUAAUUGUGUUAAAAUUCUUUUAUUGUAGUAUAGAAUCUAUUUACAAAAUGUUUGUUUAUAAAGUUUUAUGGAUUUUUACAGUGAAGUGUUUACAGUUGUUUAAUAAAGAACUGUAUGUAUAUUUUUGUACUGAUUCUAUUUUGUGAUGCUUCAGUUUGAAUAUAGUGAACCCCUUUAACUAAAGCUGCAGCUUUGAUUCAUUUCACAAAGUUUUACACAGUGGCACUGCCUCCCUCAGCACAUGGAGGAGGCUGCUGUACAGGCACCUGGCCACUUUUGUUUCUUCUUCACUAACUUUAUUACAGAUUUUAAGCUGAGGGAAGAAUAUUAGUUCAUUUUCAGUUUCAUCCUUCAAAGACUCAAGCCAGGGUGGCCCAGCCAGUCCUGAAGCACACAGGAUGUCAGCUGAAGCCUGGGUGCUGUCUGACCUUGGGUGUCCUCUCCCCUCUCACGUGCUUCUGGAGGAAGGCAAGUCACCCCAAAGUAGCACUGUAAAGGAGCGGGGAGUAGCCAGCACGGAGCACUGGUCAAGCCUGCAUCCAUCCUCUGCCUUGCUCCUACUCAAGACAGAGCCACGUGUGAAACACCACCGUUCUCCCCAGCCUGUGGCACGCAUUUCCUUCGUGCAGCAUAACAAAAUAGGUUGUUGGGAGCAGCUGAGACAAAAUAAACCAUCCCAUCACUCUGUCCCUGCUUGGAGGGUGAGCUUGCAUCCCUGCAGUUCAUGUUUUGGGCAACUCUAGUUUUUGCAGGUGUGCACCAGCCUCACACAGUUGUAUUUGGCCCAAUAUGUUGAACAAGGCUGUUCAGGGACCUGGAGAGAAUGAAGAGCACUUGACAAAAACCAAGUUGGUUGGGUCUCUUGGAGCCCCUUCAGUUCCUGCUUUUGAAGCUGCCUUUUCGCCUUGGUUAGAUAAACCAGCACCUCAACUGCUCUCAGCCAGGCAGGUAUUGCUGGAACUCAAGCAGGUGUUUUACCAGUGAGGUUUCGGGUUCAGCCCUGCUCUUGGAACUGGCACUCAGACAGAUGUACAGCUGGCAUCUUCAAAAGGACUCAGCAUUAAUUAACGGGAAGGCUGCUUUAAGUUCCAGAACAGGAACCUGCCAAAGGAGCAUAUCUGUUUCCUGCAGUUUUUACCUAUGCGAAGAACACCCUUACGGAUUUGAGGGAACAAAGAAGAAUACGUUGACCACACUCUUUGACGUCUGUGUUCUUAAGAACUUUUUAUUAGUGUAAUUUUCAUGAUUGCAUAGUUUGCAAAAGAAAAUUUUAACAAUUAAAUGCAGUCUCCUCCCUCUGACCAUUGUGUUCACCCACUGAUGGGAAGUUGCACCACACACCAACCAUAGUGAAAAGGUCCUUUCCAAUGGCAAGUUUAAAGUCUAACAAAAAAAAAUCCAGAAAGUUAAAUUCCAUUUGCAAAGGAGGUGAGUUACUAAAUGUUCCUUUGUAAUGGAGUCCACAUAGUCUCAAUCAUAACAUUCAGAUUUUU